GCAAGUCGAACGGUAACAUUUCUAGCUUGCUAGAAGAUGACGAGUGGCGGACGGGUGAGUAAUACUUAGGGAUCUGCCUUUGAGUGGGGGAUAACUAUUGGAAACGAUAGCUAAUACCGCAUAACGUUUACGGACCAAAGGGGGCGCUUGCGCUCUCGCUCGAAGAGGAACCUAAGCGAGAUUAGCUUGUUGGUGAGGUAAAGGCUCACCAAGGCGACGAUCUCUAGCUGUUCUGAGAGGAAGAUC
RNAcentral lists this ribosomal RNA (246 nucleotides) under uncultured bacterium. RNAcentral describes it as "partial 16S ribosomal RNA". It matches the Rfam family "Bacterial small subunit ribosomal RNA", at positions 57 to 305 of the family's 1533-position model. The record is from RNAcentral.